Long non-coding RNA from Cervus elaphus (red deer), 1901 nucleotides. RefSeq lists it as uncharacterized. NCBI's taxonomy places the organism in Eukaryota, Metazoa, Chordata, Mammalia, Artiodactyla, Cervidae. The record is from RefSeq and is a predicted model, not a curated record. The transcript is spliced from 5 exons.
UUCAGAAUGUCUUUCCUAAGUACCAGUGAGAACUAAACAAGGCCACAGAUGUAAAGCUCGGACAUGAGAUGCCCGGUAGAUGAUGUCAGGGCCUCCCGAUUACUGUUGUUACUGGUGACUCAGCGGCUUCCCACGGGGCCUGCGGCCGGGAGGAGAGAGGACGCUCAUCCCGCCCCUCCUGCGGGUGCCCCACUGCGCCUGAGUGGGGGACGGGGAAGGGCCCUUGGGGGUCUGUUUGGGACCAUUUACUGGAGGAAGAUGUAGCCUGCCUGUUGGUGACCGAAGCCUUGUAAACACUCCUGCAGCCCAAGAGAUGGGGGAACGUGUGACUCCUGGAGCCUCCCUUGUCGUUACGAUGAGAUGACAUGUCGGUUUCAUUUCAGACUCUUCCUAAGGAGACUGAGCUGAGCAUUCAGGGCCUUCAGGCUGGUGGAAAGGCAUGAUUUGUUUCCUUAGGAAUUCCUUCUAUAGUACUUGGAGCUUUGUGGAUAAAGCAGCAGUCAGAGACGCCCUGUAGAAAUGGAGUGGAGGUAACGCCCCAUGAACCUGCCGACCGACACCUCCGCAUCACAACCUAAAGCUGAGUUUGUGCAGCUGCAGACUUCCCCAUGUCAUACCUGAAACAAAGCGUCCUUCUCUUUCCUGAUGAUGUUGUGCAAACAAGAUGGUCCUCCUUGCUUCUCAGACCAUCAGCUCUGCUUCUCAUCUGGCCCAGCCUCCUGUGAAGUCAUAGCUCUGUGAUAUGGCAGCCGUUACCAAGAUGGAAAUGAUUAGGACGUCACGGGAGCUGGCACAGGAUGGCCCAUGUUCCGGACAGGACCAGGACCCCGGGUCCCAGCCACAGCUCUGUUAUCCACCCAGCCCCGCUUGGUGGCUGGGGAAAGCCGCUUCGCCUUCCCCAAGUCGAUCCUCGCGGUCUGCUGGUCAUGGCCUCAGAAGCUUGGAUGCCUGCGCCUGGACCAGCUGUUGUCUGUUGUCCCUGGGGAUGCUAGGCUCCCCCGGGUAACGGGAUGAGGCAAGCCUUUCUGGGACACCUUUCAAGUUGGGAAACUGGAGCACAGGCUCUGAGAGAAGGCAGCUGCAGGAAGUCUGGCAGAGGCACCCAUCCCCUCUGCUGAGAACAGGAAUGAGCCUGGCUGUGGGCUUGGAUGAGCUGGAGGGGGAGGACAUCCCGAAGGACUGAGGAGGGUGUUUCUAUACUGAAGAUUAACCUCGGGGUUGUGGGGCGGGGGGGGGGGGGGGAGGCUCAGAGGGAGAGGACAGUGGUCAUCAAACUUUUCCAUAAUCAAACUUUUUAGGAGACAGUUUAGCUGAAUCAGUCUAACCUUUGAGAUAAUGCUCUUUAGAAGAAAACAGAAGAUGAGAUUUUCACAGUGAGGGAACGAGCAAUGUGAGACUUUGCUGCUCUUGCUGCCCCAACCCAAUCCUUCCUCACAUAGUUGUCACCGUUCCCCUGGGAGACUGAAACCACCAGUCUCCUCUUCUGGCCCGGGGACUCCUUGUCUGUAGCCCCACUUGUGGGGGUGAAAGGCUGGAGCCCACCCGCCCACCUGUGCUCAGCUGUUGGGGCUGGUGUCUGGCCAACUGAUAGACCUGGUAGGUCUUCUGCCUGUCACACCCCCCAGCUUCAGGGACUUUCACAGAAACAUCCAGUUAUCACCUGCCCGCUUCAGUGGAGGAGAGGGGUCCGGACCACUGUGGACAAGUGUUAACUUCCUGGGUGUGAACGACGAGAAGGCACAACCUGCAUGGAUGAUUUGUGUUUCAUCUGGGGACUGUACAGAGGACUGUAGUCCAAAGGUGGCCUCUCGGUAGCUCAAGGGGCCAUCCUGAAAAGGUCAGAGAGGAACCAGGACCUAAAGGAGCUCCUGGCUGAGAAAAAAAUCCAGUUAACAGCAAGA